This 433-nucleotide ribosomal RNA is filed under the name uncultured bacterium. Its description in RNAcentral is "partial 16S ribosomal RNA". It matches the Rfam family "Bacterial small subunit ribosomal RNA", at positions 29 to 507 of the family's 1533-position model. The record is from RNAcentral.
AACGAACGCUGGCGGCAUGCCUAACACAUGCAAGUCGAACGAGACCUUCGGGUCUAGUGGCGCACGGGUGCGUAACGCGUGGGAACCUGCCCUUAGGUUCGGAAUAACUCCCCGAAAGGGGUGCUAAUACCGGAUAAUGUCUUCGGACCAAAGAUUUAUCGCCUUUGGAUGGGCCCGCGUUGGAUUAGCUAGUUGGUAGGGUAAAAGCCUACCAAGGCGACGAUCCAUAGCUGGUCUGAGAGGAUGAUCAGCCACACUGGGACUGAGACACGCCCCAGACUCCUACGGGAGGCAGCAGUGGGGAAUAUUGGACAAUGGGCGAAAGCCUGAUCCAGCAAUGCCGCGUGAGUGAUGAAGGCCUUAGGGUUGUAAAGCUCUUUUACCCGGGAUGAUAAUGACAGUACCGGGAGAAUAAGCUCCGGCUAACUCCGUG